Molecule: long non-coding RNA, 1232 nt
Filed under: Ursus maritimus (polar bear)
Lineage: Eukaryota; Metazoa; Chordata; Mammalia; Carnivora; Ursidae
Description: lncRNA (ENSUMAG00000015766.1)
Source: RNAcentral
GGCGCAGGUGCGCGGCUGAGCUCUGCCUCGUCCCUGCCUUUAAAGGACACCGCGUGGGGUGGGGGCCUGAGAUUUGGGUUCUAGUUGCCUCCCUCCCUCCCUAAGCUCACUGGCUUUAUUCCUGAAGAGUGGACAGUAAUACUUGCCCCACCCCCACCCGUGCUCGGGGCAGUGACUACCCCAAACUCAUUGGGAACCCAGGGCGCCCUGUAUAGGGGGAGAAGCCAAACAGCCCCACCCCGAUUCUAUGGAUGUAGGGGAGUCUCUGCGGAAUUGGAGGGGUGGCAAGGUCAGGAAGCAGCCCAGCGGGGAUUUGAGGCAGUCCAUUUAACGGCAGUGCGCAACGAGUCAUUACCCAGCCUUUUCUCUUCGUGCCUUCUUGGGGGGCGGGGAGGGGGAUGCAAGGAACUUGCCACUUCCUCUGGGAGUCUGUCCCUAAGUGGCAUCCCCCAUGCCCCUAAGUCAGGGUUGGGGCUUCUGUUCUGGGCUUACAGAGCAGCGUGAGCUAUCCUGUCCUAGCACUGUUUUGGAUGGCCCGAGGGCAAGGACCACGCAUGCGCCCAGUGCAUCCUGAAGACUCACCCAAUGGCAACGAGAGAUUUGGGGAAUUGAGAAGGACCCUGCCACCUGGAACCACGCGGGGCGGUGUUGACGUGAGGCAUCGAACCCGGCCACAUCCCCGGCACGGUGAACAUCCCCUUCACGGACUUCCUGACCAAGGAGGGCCUGGAGAAGAGCCCCGAGGAGAUCCACCGUCUGUUCCAGGACAAGAAGGUGGACUUGUCCCAGCCACUGGUGGCCACGUGUGGCUCCGGCGUCACAGCCUGCCAUGUGGCACUGGGGGCCUACCUGUGUGGGAAGCCCGACGUGGCCAUCUACGACGGCUCCUGGGUGGAGUGGUACAUGCGUGCCCAGCCAGAGGAAGUCAUCUCCGAGGGCCGGGGGAAGACCCACUGAGGCUGGGCAGGACACAGGGAGCUGUGCCCGGCCUGGUUGUUCUGACUCUGCUUUGACCGAGUGCGUGUGUCUUCCUGUGAGUCGGGUGGUGCACAGGGGGACAUCCCGGAGGCCAGGAGUUCCGUUGCUUGUGAGCUUCCAGUGGAGACAGGAGAGAAGGUGGUGAUGGGCACAGGGGAAGGCAGCUGCCCCACACGCCGAGCUGGGGCCCUACCUCCCUUCUCUUUCACUGUUGAGGAAAUAAAACAGCCACGUGCUAAAUCUUUCUAAUUGGG